GAAAAUAAUGAAACUGUAUGGUGCAGAAAGUGUUUUUUUCAUUGCAGUUUCUGCUGCUGGGAAAGCGGUAGAUCACUAUGGCUUCUGUACCGUGAUUAGUCACUCUUUUUCGUAUCGGUCACUAUUUUCGGUAUUUUCGGUUAUCAUUUCGGUGGCUGCAUUCCGUAUCGGUGACGUUCGACGUUUGAUAGUUCAUCAAAUUGUAGCGCUGUUAUUUGGUCACCUGUCAGCUGCGCUACUGUUUUAGCAGCGCGUUUAGUAGCGACCGGUAAAGUGUCAAAUAAUGAUACUGCGCUGACAAACGGUUUAUACUCACCACCGAAAUGAAGCUUAUGAUAAAUAAAAUACUGCUGCUUGCUGGUCACUGAUUGAAGAUCGUUCAGGGGCUACCAUUGGCCAAUCUCACAAACGGGAUAUAAUAAGAACUGAUGCAGGU
Long non-coding RNA from Armigeres subalbatus, 436 nucleotides. RefSeq lists it as uncharacterized. Lineage: Eukaryota; Metazoa; Arthropoda; Insecta; Diptera; Culicidae. The record is from RefSeq and is a predicted model, not a curated record. The transcript has 3 exons.